GAAUUACUGUCACCCAAAUACAUAAGACAAAAUACAGACUGGCCAGGAUGCUGCUGUGGGCCUUAUGACUGCUCCCUCAUUACUGUAUGCUGUACAGAGUAUCCUGUCUUGGGCGAAGUUACAAUCUGAAAGCAACCCUACAUUAAGCAAGUGGGAAUGGAAAACAGAGAUGCAUGUCAAGCAACUCUUCAAACAAUCGUACCCUCCAAUAUCUGGGGCUUGUUUUAUGGAUGGUAGAAAAUUCACUGGAUGGAUUUAUGUGGUAUAUGAGAAGGCAGAACAAUGGGUGAAAGGAAAAAAAUGUAAAAUAUGGGCUGGACAGCACUUUUAUGGGAAAAAGACUAUGUUGCCUGCUCUUUGACACCUGGGUUUUCUUCCAAUAAGAUUCCUUGACUGCUUAAGCAUUCUUAAAUAUCAGAUUUUUUUUUAAUCAUUAUUAUUGCUGCGAGCAUUGCAACAGGAACAAUGCUAUAUAUCCCCAAUCAUUUUAGCUGUUAUUGGACUAUGUAGGUUUAAAAUUUGAUCAGAAACAGUGACCUCCAUAUAAAUUAGAGGAGGGUUCUCUUUCCAAGUACAGUCAUUUAGGUGGGUAGGAUAAAUAUAAUUCAUUUCAACACCUGGGCUCUGAAAGCAUUUAUUAUUAAGCAAAUUUUAUACCACAGACAAAUUACUGAUCAGAUGUCCUCCCACCCCAGGGAUCUUCUUUGUUGUCCCAUGUCUUUUGAAGAAUUCUUUCUUUGUGACUGUGUCUGAGUGUGCCCUAGGAGAGGCAAAAAGCCCUGGAAUACUUACUUCCCCUCCUAAAACUGCACUUUCUGCUUGUUUUCUUAGCAUAGUUCUUGAAGCAGGUCAACACUUGACUACGGCAAUGAUUACAGAGAAAGUAUGCACCAACACUACCUUUAAGCUAAGGGGAUGCUUUUGCACUAGCAGUGCUUCCUACAGAUCCAACAAGACUGGCAAAUCUGGGAUUAUCCUUCCCAUAAGUAAGGGAAAUCUCCAUGUAACAGGACUGGUUUACAUAAAAGACCUCAGUUUAGUAUGAAGAUACCCAAGCUAGCUGUGUAUGAAUGAACGAGGUGUUGGAAGCAGUCCAGCUAUAAAAGCAUAAAUCUAAGCACAAACACCAAUACUUUGAUGUGUUUAUUUGGGAGAACUUUUACUUAGGUAAUGAAAUUUUGCCAUUGUGAAAACAGCAAAAGAAUUCUUUCCCCACUGAGGUGUUUGGUAAAAACUCCCAUCAGUUUCAUUAUAUAAGAACAGCAGAUGUGAUUUACGUGAUACAUCCACCUAUUCCAGUCUCUCAGUUCCAGCAGUGGCCAAUAGCAGAUGCCUCUUGGAAAAUAUAAAACAAGAUGUCUGUAUGAUGAUACCCUCCUGAAAUACUCUCACAGCCUCCAGAAAAUUGUGGUUGAGAGACUUCCUGUGCCAGAGGUAUAUUUCUGCAUUUAAUAGUCCUCCAUGGGUUUGUCAGCAGUGCCAGGGUUUAAUCCCUAAGUAGACAUGGAACUUAUUCUCACAUGGGUAUUUUGAGACUUAUAAGUAUACAGUACAUUCAAUUGACUGUAAUAACAAGUUAGCCCCCUUUGGGGACUAUACUUUCUAUUACCCACAAACGAGAAGAGGACAAAACUCAAAAAUAAAAAUAAAAUAAAACAAAUUUGAUCA
Long non-coding RNA from Anser cygnoides (Swan goose), 1668 nucleotides. The record is from Ensembl. NCBI's taxonomy places the organism in Eukaryota, Metazoa, Chordata, Aves, Anseriformes, Anatidae.